Long non-coding RNA from Haliotis rubra (blacklip abalone), 146 nucleotides. RefSeq lists it as uncharacterized. Lineage: Eukaryota; Metazoa; Mollusca; Gastropoda; Lepetellida; Haliotidae. The transcript has 3 exons. The record is from RefSeq and is a predicted model, not a curated record.
CAUGUAUUUCACAGGUGCAGGGUUUUACACAGUCUUUUAAAAAUGGGAGUCAUGGCGACUCACAAUAUUUAUUUUUGGGAGUCAUUUUCAAUAUUUGUGAGUCAUGAAAAUUUAAUAUUUCUUUGUGUUAAUCAUUCUCAGUAUGU